UACGGGGGGGGCAAGCGUUGUUCGGAAUUACUGGGCGUAAAGGGCGCGUAGGCGGCUUGGUAAGUCCGUUGUGAAAUCCCUCGGCUCAACCGAGGAACUGCGACGGAUACUGCUUGGCUUGAGUCCCGGAGAGGGUAGCGGAAUUCAUGGUGUAGCAGUGAAAUGCGUAGAUAUCAUGAGGAACACCAGAGGCGAAGGCGGCUACCUGGACAGUUACUGACGCUCAGGCACGAAAGCGUGGGGAGCAAAAGGG
This 253-nucleotide ribosomal RNA is filed under the name uncultured bacterium. RNAcentral's name for it is "partial 16S ribosomal RNA". It matches the Rfam family "Bacterial small subunit ribosomal RNA", at positions 524 to 776 of the family's 1533-position model. The record is from RNAcentral.